AGGAGCUUGCUCCUUGGGUGACGAGUGGCGGACGGGUGAGUAAUGUCUGGGAAACUGCCCGAUGGAGGGGGAUAACUACUGGAAACGGUAGCUCGCAUAACGUCGCAAGACCAAAGAGGGGGACCUUCGGGCCUCUUGCCAUCGGAUGUGCCCAGAUGGGAUUAGCUAGUAGGUGGGGUAACGGCUCACCUAGGCGACGAUCCCUAGCUGGUCUGAGAGGAUGAACGGCCACAUUGGGAUUGAGACACGGCCCAAACUCCUACGGGAGGCAGCAGUGGGGAAUCUUCCGCAAUGGACGAAAGUCUGACGGAGCAACGCCGCGUGAGUGAUGAAGGUCUUCGGAUUGUAAAGCUCUGUUAAUCGGGACGAAAGAGCCUAGUGUGAAUAAUGCUAGGAAGUGACGGUACCGGAAUAGAAAGCCACGGCUAACUACGUGCCAGCAGCCGCGGUAAUACGUAGGUGGCAAGCGUUGCCCGGAAUUAUUGGGCGUAAAGCGCGCGCAGGCGGAUCUGCCAGUCUGUCUUAAAAGUUCGGGGCUUAACCCCGUGAUGGGAUGGAAACUACAGAUCUAGAGUAUCGGAGAGGAAAGUGGAAUUCCUAGUGUAGCGGUGAAAUGCGUAGAUAUUAGGAAGAACACCAGUGGCGAAGGCGACUUUCUGGACGAA
RNAcentral lists this ribosomal RNA (665 nucleotides) under uncultured bacterium. Its description in RNAcentral is "bacterial SSU rRNA". It matches the Rfam family "Bacterial small subunit ribosomal RNA", at positions 74 to 737 of the family's 1533-position model. The record is from RNAcentral.